Molecule: unclassified non-coding RNA, 478 nt
Filed under: Hevea brasiliensis (rubber tree)
Lineage: Eukaryota; Viridiplantae; Streptophyta; Magnoliopsida; Malpighiales; Euphorbiaceae
Source: RNAcentral
GUGAAGUUGUUGAAGUUCCCUCCGAACUAUCAUCAGCUGGAGGGGAUUUUGGAGACAAGCGCAGUCCAAAUCCACUAGUAAAACGGGCAAAACUUGAUUUCCCAGAAUUUCCAGUUGGUGAACCAUCUUGUGAGGAAGACAAUGGCUGGGGAAUUUUCAAACUUUUGGCCCAAGAUGCUAAGCCAGGUGCAGAUAGCUUAGAAGGUGCAUCACGUGGGGAAUUAUCUGUUCCAGGAUCACUUGCAGCAUGAGGUUGUACAUUGGGAGCUUUAACAGAUGGAGUUGAUGAAUCAACAGAUCCAGAAUCCAUUCCCCUGACUUAGAUAUCUUGAUGAUUAUCUGCAGAGACUCCAAGCGGAGCAUAAGCCACAAGCUUAGUGUAGCUGAAUUAGGGUUCAAAGAGAGAGAGAGAGAGAAAGAGAAGGAGGGAGAGAAGAGAAUGAGUAUAAAGUUUUUUUUUUUUUUUUCUUUUCCUUUU